GUCAUGAUGGCCGAGUGGUUAAGGCGUUUGACUCGAAAUCAAAUGGGCUCUGCCCGCACAGGUUCGAAUCCUGUUCAUGACG
Lingula anatina is the source of this 82-nucleotide non-coding RNA. NCBI's taxonomy places the organism in Eukaryota, Metazoa, Brachiopoda, Lingulata, Lingulida, Lingulidae. The record is from Rfam.